UUUUGUUUGUGUAAAAGACUUUUAACGUAAAUGUACUUUUAUCAAUUUUAACAAGUCAUUUAUCCUUUGUAAUAUUCACAGUAGAAUCACUAAGAAAUUUUUAAUUAGUAAAGAUUAAUUUUCUUUUAAAUGCCGUUACUUAUUUAGCCAUAUUUUAGUAUUUUAUUUUUAUAAUUGUGCGAAACGCGAAUAAAUUUACUAAUUAAAUAAAUUUAUGACCACCCAACAUAUAUUUAGCAAGAACUAAAUAAGUCAAUACAAGCAGAAAGAAACUCAUCAAAAACUUCAUUUUUAUUAGCUCACGAAAGUACAUUCACGAACUGUCGCAAAUUAGGAUACAUUAGACCCAAUACAGAUCGCAUGGUCAUCUUUUAUUUUUGUUUAUUUUCUCCUAUUUUCUUUUUCCUCUGCAACUAAUGCCAUUGGUACCUCUAGCUCAAAUCUCAGAAAUACUUAUCACAAUUCCCUUUACCUGUCACGCAGAGAAAUGGAACACGAGUAAAAAGAAGAAACACACAAAAGAAUGAAACUGACAUGAAUAAAUUCUAUCUUCCGAAAAGAACAAAAACCACAACUCGAGAUGAAGGGAGAAUCGAAAAUUUUGACUUUAACACUAAGCAUCAAAUUGUAAUGUUUAUUUAUAUAUAGAAAUAAAGAACAUUAUAUUAGGGUUUUUUUUGGUUUUUUUUUUGGAUAGCAUAUUCUUGGAAACAAGUAAUGCUAAACGAGCACUCCAUGUAAUCCUAACUCUGUCGAUUUAGCGCUUUCAAUAGUGAAUUAGCUAGAGCUUUUGUCAGAACAGCCAAAAAUAUUUAUGCAUUUCAGAUUCCUAACAUACUAUUCCCUCAAACUGAUUAAACGACUUUUUCUAUCGAGCUUUUGACAUUUGAUCAUCUCAAAUGUUAAUAAUGCAGUACCACACAUGAUAUAGCAGUGUACCAUAAUAUCCAUUAAAGAUGAUUAACACAAAUGACCAAGAUAUCUUUAGCAAAUAAGUAAAUACAGAUUAAAUGAUAAACUAUAUAUGUCCAAAAUUGUGUUAGUCUUGUCCCGUGGAAAACAUGGUAGGUUUAUAAUAGUUGACAGCAGCACUAAAAAAAGUCACAUUUAUCAAUAAAGGAAUAAAGAAAUAAAAAAAUAUAUUACGUAGGAGUUGACAGAAUCAAAUAAAAAAGUUAAAUAAACUAACGAUUCAAAAAUAUUAAGAAAUAUAAAAGAAGAUACCAGGAGUAGAGGAAAAUGUGGGAGGAUCAGAUCGAAUCUAAUCACUGUCGCUACCACUGCUGCUGCUGCUGCUAUCAUCGUCAUGCUUCUUCUCCUUCUUGUCUUUCUUGUCCUUGUUCUUCUUUUUCUUCUCCUCCCCGUCCUUGUGAUCUUCUCCAUGGAGCUUCUCCUUGAUCUUCUCCCUGUGUCCUUCGCCCUUCUCCUUCAUCUUCUCCUUGUGCUCCUCGCCCUUCUUUUCUGAAUCCUUGUGGUCUCCCAUGUGGAGUUUCUCCUCUAUCUUGUGCACUAUUCCUGACAUUUUUUCUUACACGUAUAUUUCACUUUAAUAAGUUUGAUCAAAAUUGAUAUUGGAGUGAGGAUAAUGGUGAGCGAGGUAUGUAUUUAUAGGGAAACGAAGGAAGCUCUCGAUGCUUUACGUGUAUGU
RNAcentral lists this long non-coding RNA (1648 nucleotides) under Nicotiana tabacum (common tobacco). RNAcentral describes it as "long non-coding RNA (NTAB_LNC018411)". The record is from RNAcentral. Lineage: Eukaryota; Viridiplantae; Streptophyta; Magnoliopsida; Solanales; Solanaceae.